RNAcentral lists this ribosomal RNA (253 nucleotides) under uncultured bacterium. RNAcentral's name for it is "partial 16S ribosomal RNA". It matches the Rfam family "Bacterial small subunit ribosomal RNA", at positions 524 to 776 of the family's 1533-position model. The record is from RNAcentral.
UACGAGUGCUCCAAGCGUUAUCCGGAAUCAUUGGGCGUAAAGGGUGCGUAGGUGGUUAUGUUAGUCUCGCGUCAAAUUCUUCGGCUUAACCGUGGAACUGCUUGGUAUACUGGCGGUCUUGAGCCACUUAGGGGCUACCGGAACAAAUGGUGGAGCGGUGAAAUGCGUAGAUAUCAUUUGGAACGCCAAUGGUGAAAACAGGUAGCUGGGAGUGUGCUGACACUGAGACACGAAAGCCAGGGGAGCAAACGGG